RNAcentral lists this long non-coding RNA (539 nucleotides) under Gossypium raimondii (Peruvian cotton). Its description in RNAcentral is "long non-coding RNA (GRAI_LNC001172)". The record is from RNAcentral. Lineage: Eukaryota; Viridiplantae; Streptophyta; Magnoliopsida; Malvales; Malvaceae.
CCACCCACUUUGCUUUACGAUAUUUUCCAGGCUUGUUUCUGUGUCCAUGUCUAUGAAACCCUGGUUUCUAUUUGGUAUAGGCAUGGAGCUUGAUCUCAUAUAUUCCCUUCCAUACUUCAUCAACGGAGUUUCAUGUUAUAUAGAUGUCAAAAGGUGGUACUAGUUCAGUACAAAAUUACCAUGCUACACUGAUUAUCAAACAAAUAAUUUGUACCUGCUGAUUGCAACUAUCUGGUGAACCAUAUAUAGCAUUAAGAUGCUCUUCCUCUGUUUUCCUUUUUGAUCUCCAGAAAGCUUCAAUCUCUUCUUUAGUAAGUGACCGAUUUCUUUUAAGUAUAACUGAAAUAUUUUUCACAUGAUCAAAGAUUAAACAACAAGGGUUAAGUUUUUUUUUUUUAUUUAAAAAAAAAAGACAAAAACAGAGAACAGCAUGGAAACAGUGAGGCAUGUAGUAAGAGGUUUCUGCAAAGAACCUGAUGAAGGAUCAGAUGUAGGAGAAUCCCAUCCUGACAGUAAAGAACCCAUUAUUUUGUUGAUGA